CCUACGGGUGGCAGCAGUGAGGAAUAUUGGUCAAUGGGCGAGAGCCUGAACCAGCCAAGUCGCGUGAGGGAGUACUGCCCUAUGGGUUGUAAACCUCUUUUGUCGGGGAGCAAAAGCCGGACGUUUCCGGCUGUGGUAGUACCCGUAUGAAAAGCAUCGGCGAACACCCGUCCAGAAGCCGCGGUAAUACGGGGGAUGCGGGGGUUAUCCGGGUUUAUUGGGUUUAAAGGGUGCGCAGGGGGGUUUUUAAGGCAGCGGUCAAAUCGUGGGGCUAAACCCCAUCCAGCCGUUGAAACUGGGGAUCUAGAGUGUGCGAGAGGUAUGCGGAAUGCGUGGUGUAGCGGUGAAAUGCAUAGAUAUCACGCAGAACCCCGAUUGCGAAGGCAGCAUACCGGUGUAUAACUGACGCUCAGGCACGAAAGUGUGGGUAUCGAACAGGAUUAGAUACCCUGGUAGUC
RNAcentral lists this ribosomal RNA (458 nucleotides) under uncultured bacterium. RNAcentral describes it as "partial 16S ribosomal RNA". It matches the Rfam family "Bacterial small subunit ribosomal RNA", at positions 338 to 795 of the family's 1533-position model. The record is from RNAcentral.